UGGUUGGUUAGUAUAAGAGACC
Molecule: unclassified non-coding RNA, 22 nt
Filed under: Chlamydomonas reinhardtii
Lineage: Eukaryota; Viridiplantae; Chlorophyta; Chlorophyceae; Chlamydomonadales; Chlamydomonadaceae
Description: small RNA Cre_3503
Source: RNAcentral